ACCGUGAUCCUCAGAUCCUAGCCUCCUGAGUAGCUAGGAUUACAGGUGUGAACCACUAGCACCCAGCUUCCUUUUUCUUAUUCUUAAAAAUCACCUCUGUAGAAAGGUGGUAGGCAGGGAUAUCAGAGGAAAGAAAGGGCACAAGACCCAGGGAAUUAUAUGGCUACAGCUGAGAUCUGAGGA
Dipodomys spectabilis (banner-tailed kangaroo rat) is the source of this 183-nucleotide long non-coding RNA. RefSeq lists it as uncharacterized. NCBI's taxonomy places the organism in Eukaryota, Metazoa, Chordata, Mammalia, Rodentia, Heteromyidae. The record is from RefSeq and is a predicted model, not a curated record. The transcript has 4 exons.